GAUGAACGCUGGCGGCGUGCCUAAUACAUGCAAGUCGAGCGAACAGACGAGGAGCCUGCUCCUCUGACGGUAGCGCCGGGCGAGAUAGUAAUCCGUGGGUAACCUACCUAUAAAACUGAGAUAACUUCCGGAAACCGGAGCUAAUACCGGAUAUUAUAUGGAACGGCAUGGUCCACUAUGGAAUGAGGAUUUUGUUGUCUCUUAUCGAUGCAUGCGCGCCGCCUUUGGUAGUUGGUAAGGUAACGGCAUACCCAGGCAACGUGGCGUAGCCGACCUGAGAGCGUGGUCGGCCACACGGGAAGUGAGACACGGUCCAGACUCCUACGCGGGGCAGCAGUAGGGAAUCUUCCGCAAUGGAGGAAAGCCUAACGGUGCAACGCCGCGUGAGUGAUGAAGGUCUUCGGAUCGGAGAACGCUGUUAGUAGGGAAGAAGAAAAGUGUAAGUAACUAUGCACGUCUUGACGGUACCUAAAGAGGAAGCCACGGCUAACUACGUG
Molecule: ribosomal RNA, 497 nt
Filed under: uncultured bacterium
Lineage: Bacteria
Description: partial 16S ribosomal RNA
Rfam family: Bacterial small subunit ribosomal RNA
Source: RNAcentral